This 206-nucleotide ribosomal RNA is filed under the name uncultured bacterium. RNAcentral describes it as "partial 16S ribosomal RNA". It matches the Rfam family "Bacterial small subunit ribosomal RNA", at positions 1286 to 1500 of the family's 1533-position model. The record is from RNAcentral.
UCUCAGUCGGACUGGAGUCUGCAACCCGACUCCACGAAGCUGGAUUCGCUAGUAAUCGCGCAUCAGCCACGGCGCGGUGAAUACGUUCCCGGGCCUUGUACACACCGCCCGUCAAGCCAUGGGAGCCGGGGGUACCUGAAGUGCGUAACCGCGAGGAGCGCCCUAGGGUAAAACUGGUGACUGGGGCUAAGUCGUAACAAGGUACC